Non-coding RNA from Leptonychotes weddellii (Weddell seal), 701 nucleotides. The record is from RefSeq and is a predicted model, not a curated record. NCBI's taxonomy places the organism in Eukaryota, Metazoa, Chordata, Mammalia, Carnivora, Phocidae.
CACGCACCGAGCCCCGGCCGGGCGCCGCGCACACUCGCACCCGCGCUCACACUCACACUCACACUCGCGCGCAGGCCCCGCAGCCGCCGCCGCCGCCGGAAGCGGCGCUCGGCCCGGAUCCCGGCUGGGCUGGAGAAGGAGAGGACCUGGGUGAGAAGCUGCUGCCGCCUGAGCUGGACCAGGACCCGAGACCCCUUUGAUUUUGCUGCUGCGCCAGCCGCCGCCCAGGGGGCCUCCCUGAGACCAGGCCAGGGAUAGAGCCUCGUGGGCUGGAGGGCCCCCUUAGCCCGCAGACAUUGGAGCCAGGUGACAGAUGGGUCUCUUCCUUCCUGCCCCAUCUCUCGCGCUCCCUCCUCAGAGCUUCACUCUCCAGCCUCCCGUGGGAAUCGUCUGAAGUUCUGAGCCCAGAACCGGAGGAGGAAGAGGAGGAGGAGGAGGAGGAGGAGGAGGAGGGAGAGGAAGUUGAGUCUCGAGAGCCUGUGCACCUUCCCAGAAACAGGCGGUGGGGGUGUGUCCCGGUGUGUGUCCCGGUCCCGGUGGCCCACGCCUGCUGCUAGCGCCCCGGAGGACCCCCCACCCCACCCCGCAGUUGGCACCGGCCGUGUCUGCUUCUCCCGGGGCCCCUGUGCCGGGGGUCGCCCCCAAGAUGGUGGCGGCCCCAGGGAGGACUGUGCCGCCAGCCCCAGCCUCCCGCUGCUAGG